This 1759-nucleotide ribosomal RNA is filed under the name Brassica napus (rape). RNAcentral describes it as "SSU rRNA". The stretch from base 2 to 1034 matches the Rfam family "Eukaryotic small subunit ribosomal RNA", at positions 4 to 1116 of the family's 1831-position model. The record is from RNAcentral. Lineage: Eukaryota; Viridiplantae; Streptophyta; Magnoliopsida; Brassicales; Brassicaceae. RNAcentral also lists the same sequence under 1 other name.
CCUGGUUGAUCCUGCCAGUAAUCAUAUACCUGUCUCAAAGAUUAAGUCAUGCAUGUGUAAGUAUGAACGAAUUCAGACUGUGAAACUGUGAAUGGCUCAUUAAAUCAGUUGUAGUUUGUUUGAUGGUAACUACUACUCGGAUAACCGUAGUAAUUCUAGAGCUAAUACAUGCAACAAACCCCGACUUCUGGAAGGGAUGCAUUUAUUAGAUAAAAGGUCGAUGCGGGCUCUGCCUGUUGCUCUGAUGAUUCAUGAUAACUCGACAGAUCGCAUUGCCUUAGUGCUGGCGACUCAUCAUUCAAAUUUCUGCCCUAUCAACUUUCGAUGGUAGGAUAGUGGCCUACCAUGGUGGUAACGGGUGACGGAGAAUUAGGGUUCGAUUCCGGAGAGGGAGCCUGAGAAACGGCUACCACAUCCAAGGAAGGCAGCAGGCGCACAAAUUACCCAAUCCUGACAUGGGGAGGUAGUGACAAUAAAUAACAAUACCGGGCUCUUUUAGUCUGGUAAUUGGAAUGAGUACAAUCUAAAUACCAUAACGAGGAUCCAUUGGAGGGCAAGUCUGGUGCCAGCAGCCGCGGUAAUUCCAGCUCCAAUAGCAUAUAUUUAAGUUGUUGCAGUUAAAAAGCUCGUAGUCGAACCUUGGGAUGGGUCGCCCGGUCCUCCUUCGGUGAGCACCGGUCGGCUUGUCUCUUCUGUCGGCGAUAUGCUCCUGGCCUUCUGGCCGGGUCGUGCCUCCGGCGCUGUUACUUUGAAAGAAAUUAGAGUGCUCAAAGCAAGCCUACGGUCUGUAUACAUUAGCAUGGGAUAACAUCAUAGGAUUUCGAUCCUAUUCUGUUGGUCGUCGGGAUCGGAGUAAUGAUUAACAGGGACAGUCGGUGUAAUAACCCUCACGAGCAGAGAGAAUUUUGGUCGAGAAAAUUCUUUAAGAUCAAUUUGAAAAUUGAUCGAUCAGAAUUUAAAUAAAAAUCGACACGGUGAAUUAAUCUCUCAACGGGGCUGUCUUUUGGUCGAAAAACCAUCUCUUGAUGGUUCUGGUCGAGUGUUAAUUAUUAUUGUCGAUUUUUAUUCAUGCUGGGAGAGUUUAUUCAGAGCAGGACGAGAUUCGAAUGAUGAAAAAUAUUUAGUCGAAACAGUCCAAAAAAUAUCGACAAAACUCUUAAAAUUAUUUCUGAACAGUCACAUGUCUUGCACCUUCUAGCCUACUUGCUUCCUCAGUAAUUAGGUCACAUGACAUGCACCUACUUACGUACCUGCUUGCUCAUUAGAAUUCACAUGCUGGUCACAAGCUGUUUGCUUCAGCUGCUUGUAUCUUUCUUCAUGGAAGGGAAAUGUUCAGCUGCUUGUGCUGCUUGGUGUGCUGAAGCAUGUCCCCAGCUGUCUAAACUCAGCUUUGUCUUUUGUGGGAGCACACACUCAUCUGAAGCAACUCCUUAUGAUAUAAUAUACCCUCUUCUCUCCUCUGGACGUCCUGUUACUGCAAGAAAAAGCAGAGAAAAAUUCAGAGAGAAAGAUAGAAAUAAGAGAGAAAAAUCUGUGAGAAAAAUUAGUUGAAAAAUUCAGAAAAAAAUUCAGAGAAGAGAAUUGAGAAAAGAUGAGCCUUUCACACCAUUCUGUGACUUUAUCCAGUGUGUUCUCGUGUGGUUAAGGGCUCAAGGUUUGGUGUCCAAGAGUUUAGAAUCACCCAAGUUCUUUAGCCUUGGAUUUUAUCGGUAAGAACAUAUGGGUUUGAUGAGAUCAGUUUUGCUUGAGCUUCAGUUCU